UCUCCGUAGGUGAACCUGCGGAGGGAUCAUUACCGAGUGAGGGUGCCCACGCGCCCGACCUCCCAACCCUUUGUUCAACGUACGUGUUGCCUCGGGGGGCGACCCGGCUCCGGCCGGCGGCCCCCCGGCGGACCACUUCAAAACACUGCAUCUCUGCGUCGGAGUAUUGAAGCAAAUCAAUCAAAACUUUCAACAACGGAUCUCUUGGUUCUG
RNAcentral lists this unclassified non-coding RNA (213 nucleotides) under plant metagenome. RNAcentral's name for it is "partial contains small subunit ribosomal RNA, internal transcribed spacer 1, and 5.8S ribosomal RNA". The record is from RNAcentral.